This 420-nucleotide ribosomal RNA is filed under the name bacterium. RNAcentral's name for it is "partial 16S ribosomal RNA". It matches the Rfam family "Bacterial small subunit ribosomal RNA", at positions 355 to 776 of the family's 1533-position model. The record is from RNAcentral.
UGGGGGAUAUUGCACAAUGGGCGAAAGCCUGAUGCAGCGACGCCGCGUGGGGGAUGAAGGCUUUCGGGUUGUAAACCUCUUUCGCUAUCGAACAAGGCCCGUUUAGGGUGGGUUGAGGGUAGGUGGAGAAGAAGCGCCGGCUAACUACGUGCCAGCAGCCGCGGUAAUACGUAGGGCGCGAGCGCUGUCAGGAAUUACUGGGCGUAAAGGGCUUGUAGGCAGCUUGUUGCGCCUGCUGUGAAAACGCGGGACUUAACUUCGCGCGUGCAGCUGGUACGGGCAGGCUUGAGUGUUGUAGCGGUGACUGAGAUUCCAAGUGUAGCGGGCGAAUGCGCAGAGAUCUUGCGGAACACCGAUGACGAAGGCAGGUCACUGGGCCAUUACUUUCGCUGAGAAGCGAAAGCAUGAGUAGCGAGCAGG